This 73-nucleotide transfer RNA is filed under the name Ictidomys tridecemlineatus (thirteen-lined ground squirrel). RNAcentral's name for it is "Spermophilus tridecemlineatus (thirteen-lined ground squirrel) tRNA". It matches the Rfam family "tRNA". Rfam says of the family: Transfer RNA (tRNA) molecules are approximately 80 nucleotides in length. Their secondary structure includes four short double-helical elements and three loops (D, anti-codon, and T loops). Further hydrogen bonds mediate the characteristic L-shaped molecular structure. tRNAs have two regions of fundamental functional importance: the anti-codon, which is responsible for specific mRNA codon recognition, and the 3' end, to which the tRNAs corresponding amino acid is attached (by aminoacyl-tRNA synthetases). tRNAs cope with the degeneracy of the genetic code in two manners: having more than one tRNA (with a specific anti-codon) for a particular amino acid; and 'wobble' base-pairing, i.e. permitting non-standard base-pairing at the 3rd anti-codon position. The record is from Rfam by way of RNAcentral. Lineage: Eukaryota; Metazoa; Chordata; Mammalia; Rodentia; Sciuridae.
UCGGAUGUAGCUCAAUUGGUAGAGUGCUUGCUUCUCAUGUACAAGGCCCUGGGUUCAAUCCCCAGCACCACAA